This 446-nucleotide ribosomal RNA is filed under the name uncultured bacterium. Its description in RNAcentral is "partial 16S ribosomal RNA". It matches the Rfam family "Bacterial small subunit ribosomal RNA", at positions 338 to 795 of the family's 1533-position model. The record is from RNAcentral.
CCUACGGGUGGCAGCAGUCGAGAAUCAUGCACAAUGGGGGAAACCCUGAUGGAGCGACGCCGCGUGGGGGAAUGAAGGUCUCCGGAUUGUAAACCCCUGUCAUGUGGGAGCAAAUUAAAAAGAUAGUACCACAAGAGGAAGAGACGGCUAACGCGGUGCCAGCAGCCGCGGUAAUACAGAGGUCUCAAGCGUUGGUCGGAAUCACUGGGCGUAAAGGGUGCGUAGGCUGUUUCGUAAGUCGGGUGUGAAAGGCGCGGGCUCAACCCGCGGACGGCACAUGAUACUGCGAGACUAGAGUAAUGGAGGGGGAACCGGAAUUCUCGGUGUAGCAGUGAAAUGCGUAGAUAUCGAGAGGAACACUCGUGGCGAAGGCGGGUUCCUGGACAUUAACUGACGCUGAGGCACGAAGGCCAGGGGAGCGAAAGGGAUUAGAUACCCCAGUAGUC